UACGUAGGGUGCGAGCGUUAAUCGGAUUUACUGGGCGUAAAGCGUGCGCAGGCGGCCCGUUAAGUCAGGUGUGAAAUCCCUGGGCUCAACCUAGGAAUUGCGCUUGAGACUGGCGGGCUCGAGUACGGUAGAGGGGGGUGGAAUUCCUGGUGUAGCAGUGAAAUGCGUAGAGAUCAGGAGGAACACCGGUGGCGAAGGUAGCCCCCUGGGCCUGUACUGACGCUCAUGCGCGAAAGCGUGGGGAGCAAACAGG
RNAcentral lists this ribosomal RNA (253 nucleotides) under uncultured microorganism. Its description in RNAcentral is "partial 16S ribosomal RNA". It matches the Rfam family "Bacterial small subunit ribosomal RNA", at positions 524 to 776 of the family's 1533-position model. The record is from RNAcentral.